AGAGUUAUAGGGCCCCGCGUUAAGUCCAUGAGCUUCCGUGAGGGUACUCUGCCGGUUUUGCUGCGGAAGUCACCUCGUGGCGUAGGGGAGAGGUAACACCGAGAAGAGGCAGCGGCGGUGGCGCCAAGACGAUUGGUGCCAAACAGGGCAGAACGCAACUCAGCUCUGGGUUUGUGAAUAGCACAAUGGAAGAAGCUGGACUUUGUGGGUUAAGAGAGAAAGCAGAUAUGUUGUGUAACUCUGAAUCACAUGAUAUUCUUCAACAUCAAGACUCAAAUUGCAGUGCCACAAGUAAUAAACAUUUAUUGGAAGAUGAAGAAGGCCGUGACUUUAUAACAAAGAACAGGAGUUGGGUGAGCCCAGUGCACUGCACACAAGAGUCAAGAAGGGAGCUUCCUGAGCAAGAAGUAGCCCCUCCGUCUGGUCAGCAAGCUUUACAAUGCAACAGGAACAAAGAAAAAGUCUUAGAGAGACAAGGUCUUUCCCUGUCACCCAGGCUGGAGCGCGGUGGUACAUUCAUGGGUCAUGGCAGCCUUAAACUCCCUGAGCUCGUGAUCCUGUCUCUUCAGACUCUAGAGUAGCUGGGGCUACAGGCGUACACCACCACACAUGGCUAAUUUUUUAUUUUUCUUUUGUUGUAGAGAUGGGCUGUCAUUCUCUUGCCCAGGCUGGUCUUGGUAUACUGUCCUGUAGCAGUAUAUUUUGGCUACCUGUACUGGCAUUGGCUUUUCCAAGUGUCAAGAUUACAGAAGUUUUAUUAUUGAUGCAAGCCCUAAACACUCUUUCGACUCCAGAGGAGAAGCUGGCAGCUCUCUGUAAGAAAUAUGCUGAUCUUGGAAAUUCACCUCUUCUAUAGAAGAGUUUGUUUUGAACUAUACGAUUUGAAACAAAAUUCUUUUUUUGGAGACUAUGGAAACAUUCUCAACAGGGAAACCCUACUAGACUUUGUAAAGCAAAUAAUGGAAAAGAUACAGAACUUUUUGAAGAAUCAUGGGAAAUU
Molecule: long non-coding RNA, 1000 nt
Filed under: Homo sapiens (human)
Lineage: Eukaryota; Metazoa; Chordata; Mammalia; Primates; Hominidae
Description: non-protein coding lnc-HSFY1-2:4
Source: RNAcentral